Molecule: ribosomal RNA, 1253 nt
Filed under: metagenome
Description: bacterial LSU rRNA
Rfam family: Bacterial large subunit ribosomal RNA
Source: RNAcentral
UUCGAGAGAAUCAUGGUGAAGGAACUCGGCAAAAUGCCCCCGUAACUUCGGGAGAAGGGGGGCCAUCCACUUAUACGGAUUUACUCCGGAAAGGGUGUGGUGGCCGCAGAGACCAGUGGGAAGCGACUGUUUACUAAAAACACAGGUCCGUGCGAACAAGCAAUUGGAUGUAUACGGACUGACGCCUCCCCGGUGCUGGAAGGUUAAGAGGAGAGGUCAACCCUUCGGGGUGAAGCUUUGAAUUUAAGCCCCAGUAAACGGCGGUGGUAACAAUAACCAUCCUAAGGUAGCGAAAUUCCUUGUCGGGUAAGUUCCGACCUGCACGAAUGGCGUAACGACUUCCCAGCUGUCUCCACCAUGAACUCGGCGAAGUCGCACUACGAGUAAAGAUGCUCGUUACGCGCAGAAGGACGGAAAGACCCCGUGACCUUUACUACAGCUUGGUAUUGGUGUUCGGUGUGGCUUGUGUAGGAUAGGUGGGAGACUGUGAAGCAGGGACGCUAGUUCUUGUGGAGUCAUUGUUGAAAUACCACUCUGGUCAUAUUGGAUAUCUAACUACGGACCCUGAUCGGGUUCUGGGACAGUGCCUGGUGGGUAGUUUAACUGGGGCGGUUGCCUCCUAAAGAGUAACGGAGGCGCCCAAAGGUUCCCUCAACCUGGUUGGCAAUCAGGUGGCGAGUGUAAGUGCACAAGGGAGCUUGACUGUGAGACUGACAGGUCGAGCAGGGACGAAAGUCGGGACUAGUGAUCCGGCAGUGGCUUGUGGAAGCGCUGUCGCUCAACGGAUAAAAGGUACCUCGGGGAUAACAGGCUGAUCUUGCCCAAGAGUCCAUAUCGACGGCAUGGUUUGGCACCUCGAUGUCGGCUCGUCGCAUCCUGGGGCUGGAGUAGGUCCCAAGGGUUGGGCUGUUCGCCCAUUAAAGCGGUACGCGAGCUGGGUUUAGAACGUCGUGAGACAGUUCGGUCCCUAUCCUCUGCGCGCGUUGGAAAUUUGAGAGGAUCUGACCCUAGUACGAGAGGACCGGGUUGGACGGACCUCUGGUGUGCCAGUUGUUCUGCCAAGGGCAUGGCUGGUUGGCUACGUUCGGGAUGGAUAACCGCUGAAAGCAUCUAAGCGGGAAGCCGGCCUCGAGAUGAGAUUUCCGUCACCCUUGUGGUGGUGAGGCUCCCAGGAGAUUACUGGGUUGAUAGGCCAGAUGUGGAAGCACUGUAAGGUGUGGAGCUGACUGGUACUAAUAAGCCGAUGGCUUGAC